RNAcentral lists this long non-coding RNA (1343 nucleotides) under Panax ginseng (ginseng). RNAcentral's name for it is "long non-coding RNA (PGIN_LNC015534)". The record is from RNAcentral. Lineage: Eukaryota; Viridiplantae; Streptophyta; Magnoliopsida; Apiales; Araliaceae.
UUUUAAAAAGUCACAAACAGAGAAGUACGGUGGAUAUGUUGAAGGACAGAGAAGUAAUUAGUCGUAGUGGUGUUAGUAUCACUUGGCUCCUCGAUCAAGGUCGGACAUAAUCUCUGCCCGGAUCCUCUUUUCUCUUUCUCCGCCUAAAAUAGCCAGGGCUCGCCUAAAACCCCACAUUUAAUAUACGGAAUUUGAGCUGUUCUAGGCAAAGUCCACUACUAGUACAUAGUCCUCCUCGCCAACUUACUGUUUGGUUGCAGAUAUUUAAUUAAUCGGGGAAACGGCAAAGGCCAUGUGACUUGUAAUGAAACCAGUGUCUAAUACUACAAUAGUUAUUAUUCCAUCGUAUACCAUUUUCAUUUGAUAGACAGCGCGCCGUAGACAGCAGCUAGCGACAACACAACAGGUCACCACUUUCUCUCUCUUCCCUGCAGCAGGGUGCAGGGAUGGGGUGGGUGGGGUGCGAGGGGUGCAGCAGCUACCUUUACCAAAAAGCACCAAACUCGUCCUUUUUAAACCAACCAACCAACUCCUCUCCUCUUCCCUUUGUUCUUUACAAUUACAAAUCCCCAUUUUUCUUUUCUCCAACUUUUGGAUUAGUUCCAUUCCUUUGUCUUUUUCAUCAUCAUCAUCAUCAUCAUCAUCAUCAUCUUCUAAACUAGUAAUUAAGUUUUGGGUUUCGAUAAUUUGUUAUAAAUUAAUUUUAGGAGGGAGAAAUUGAUGAUGGAGGUGGUGAUUGAGGUAUAUUGUGAGGCAUUGAUGUUGAUUGGGUAUGGAAAGAAGAAGUUUAAGAGCAUGGUUUGGAGGGUGAAAGCAGAGGUACGGAAACAGAUGUUGAAGAAGAAGAAGCAGCAGAGGUUCAGCUUCCAUUAUGAUCCAUUCAGUUAUGCACUCAAUUUUGACGACGGUGACUUUGGUUUCUUCUGCUAGCUCUCAUCCUCAUCCUCAUCCUCAUCCUCAUCCUCAUCCUCAUCCUCAUCCUCAUCCUCAUUUUUUGGGUACUGUUGUAUAAGCAUCAAGUAGCAACAGAUCCAUAUACUCUCUUUCUUUUGUUUCUUCUGGCUAGUAUAUGUAUGGGUACCUAUAUAUAGACCUUAAUUAGAAGCCAACUGCGGACCCAUAAAUUGAUAUUUAUAUUAUAUGCAUCUUGCUGAUCAGAAUCUUCCCUUUUUUCAUUCAUAUCUACCAUAUAUACAUAUAUAUAUAUAUAUGUGCAUGUUCUGUUAUGAUCUUCAACUUCAAUGGCCAUGAGCAACGCCGUUAAUACUAGUAGGUGAUAUGCUCAGCUCAAUUGGUUUGUUUUUGCAAUUGAUAUCUAUAUUGGCUCUUCACUUUAAAAUUAC